RNAcentral lists this ribosomal RNA (750 nucleotides) under Triticum aestivum (bread wheat). Its description in RNAcentral is "partial small subunit ribosomal RNA". The record is from RNAcentral. Lineage: Eukaryota; Viridiplantae; Streptophyta; Magnoliopsida; Poales; Poaceae.
AUGUUAUGCUUGUGGAUCUCAUGUAUCUCUACUCCUAAUGCAGCAGUUGGUAGUCUCGCUUCCAGGUUUUUCUUCGUCCCACCUUCGUUGGUUUUUUUCGCUCGUUUUAUUUCGCUCCUCCCCUCCCCCGACCCCACCCACACACGUUGUGAUCCCCUCGACUUUGACGUUAGCGCAGCCGAUCUUGGAGGAGACCCCGUCGGAUCUAGCUGCCGCCGGACGACUCGAGAAGACCCCGCCAGAUCUCGCCCUCGUCAUCAGUUCUGUAUCGCCGUCGUCGUGGCCACGGUAAAGCUGCCAUCCCUGCCGCGGAUCCCCUCUAGAAUACCCAGCCGAUGGACGCCGCAGGCCGCAGGCCGAUUUCAACCCCAGGGCUGGUGGACGUACAAUGCAGAGGCGUCCCAGGUGCGACUGUACAGGGAGCUGGAGUGCGAGUUCUUGACGGAGCAGGCGACCUGCAUGCGCAACAGCCGCCGCGAUGACUCGCACCAGCGGUGGCGCUGGCAGCCUUCCUCCUGCGACCUCCCCAGGUUUGUUGCGCGGUUGCUGCUGGAGCGGCAGUGGAACAAGAGGCUGAUGUUCGUGGGGGACUCCCUGAAGUCGAUGGUGUGGCUGGUGUCAUCGGCGAUCCCUUCGCGCGACCAAAAGUCCCUGGCCAAGUUCGUGGGGCCAAAAAACUCUCUCAACGUGUUCAUGGCGGCGUAUUACAACGCGGCGGUGGAGUUCUACUGGGAGCUCCAACUCGAAUGA